This 253-nucleotide ribosomal RNA is filed under the name uncultured bacterium. Its description in RNAcentral is "partial 16S ribosomal RNA". It matches the Rfam family "Bacterial small subunit ribosomal RNA", at positions 524 to 776 of the family's 1533-position model. The record is from RNAcentral.
UACGUAGGGCGCAAGCGUUGUCCGGAAUUACUGGGCGUAAAGAGCUCGUAGGUGGUUUGUCGCGUUGUUCGUGAAAACUCACAGCUCGACUGUGGGCGUGCGGGCGAUACGGGCAGACUGGAGUACUGCAGGGGAGACUGGAAUUCCUGGUGUAGCGGUGGAAUGCGCAGAUAUCAGGAGGAACACCGGUGGCGAAGGCGGGUCUCUGGGCAGUAACUGACGCUGAGGAGCGAAAGCGUGGGGAGCGAACAGG